GCCUGGCUGGCUCAAUUGGUAGAGCAUGUGACUCUUGAUCUUGGGGUCAUGAGUUCAAGCCCCAUGAUGGGUG
Molecule: transfer RNA, 73 nt
Filed under: Felis catus (domestic cat)
Lineage: Eukaryota; Metazoa; Chordata; Mammalia; Carnivora; Felidae
Also listed under: 4 other names
Rfam family: tRNA
About the family: Transfer RNA (tRNA) molecules are approximately 80 nucleotides in length. Their secondary structure includes four short double-helical elements and three loops (D, anti-codon, and T loops). Further hydrogen bonds mediate the characteristic L-shaped molecular structure. tRNAs have two regions of fundamental functional importance: the anti-codon, which is responsible for specific mRNA codon recognition, and the 3' end, to which the tRNAs corresponding amino acid is attached (by aminoacyl-tRNA synthetases). tRNAs cope with the degeneracy of the genetic code in two manners: having more than one tRNA (with a specific anti-codon) for a particular amino acid; and 'wobble' base-pairing, i.e. permitting non-standard base-pairing at the 3rd anti-codon position.
Source: Rfam by way of RNAcentral